RNAcentral lists this ribosomal RNA (468 nucleotides) under uncultured bacterium. RNAcentral's name for it is "partial 16S ribosomal RNA". It matches the Rfam family "Bacterial small subunit ribosomal RNA", at positions 28 to 507 of the family's 1533-position model. The record is from RNAcentral.
GACGAACGCUGGCGGCGUGCUUAACACAUGCAAGUCGAACGGAAAGGCCCUGCUUUUGUGGGGUGCUCGAGUGGCAAACGGGUGAGUAACACGUGAGUAACCUGCCCUUGACUUUGGGAUAACUUCAGGAAACUGGGGCUAAUACCGGAUAGGAGCUCCCGCUGCAUGGUGGGGGUUGGAAAGUUUCGGCGGUUGGGGAUGGACUCGCGGCUUAUCAGCUUGUUGGUGGGGUAGUGGCUUACCAAGGCUUUGACGGGUAGCCGGCCUGAGAGGGUGACCGGCCACAUUGGGACUGAGAUACGGCCCAGACUCCUACGGGAGGCAGCAGUGGGGAAUAUUGCACAAUGGGCGGAAGCCUGAUGCAGCAACGCCGCGUGCGGGAUGACGGCCUUCGGGUUGUAAACCGCUUUCGCCUGUGACGAAGCGUGAGUGACGGUAAUGGGUAAAGAAGCACCGGCUAACUACGUG